CCCACCCCUGCCAUGCUCUGCCGCCUGGAUCCACAUCCCCACAACCGGAAAGGGUCCUCCUCGAGGAGCUGCGCAUCCUCUGCCUGCUCCAACGCUGUACACAUCCUCUGCUUGGUUGACUCCCACCGCCUACGAUCGUUGCUGCCGUCUGAUCAGGGUAAUGGAUUUGAAGGUUGAUAUAUCUUGAGUUGUCCCAUUAUCAGACUUAAUUCAGGAUUCAACUCAGGAGAGUGUACAGAACAUGCAGGUUUGUAUUGUUUCCAGUGUAUGUUGGUCAUGCAUCGGAUGUCAC
This 292-nucleotide long non-coding RNA is filed under the name Triticum aestivum (bread wheat). Its description in RNAcentral is "long non-coding RNA (TAES_LNC001525)". The record is from RNAcentral. Lineage: Eukaryota; Viridiplantae; Streptophyta; Magnoliopsida; Poales; Poaceae.